RNA transcript from Brachypodium distachyon (stiff brome), 3708 nucleotides. It is a transcript of the gene named protein FAR1-RELATED SEQUENCE 6, with no coding region annotated. NCBI's taxonomy places the organism in Eukaryota, Viridiplantae, Streptophyta, Magnoliopsida, Poales, Poaceae. The record is from RefSeq and is a predicted model, not a curated record. The transcript is spliced from 8 exons.
UCCUAUCGAUCUCUCUCUGUCCAACCAGCCCAAGCGGAGCCGUCUCCCCAUCCACGCCCACAGCGCCGCCGUCGACCAUCUCAACCCCCACCCACCCCAGCGCCGCGGCCGACCCUCCCCAUCCCCAACUCCGCGACCCUCCUCACCACCAACGCCGCGGCCUCCUCACCACCACGACGCCGCCGCCUACUCUUCACCUCCCCAACGGCGCCGCUGCCUCGCCCGUCAUCCUCCCUACCCGCUCUCAGACUCAAACCCUAGCCCACCUCGCCGUCGGUGGCUCUCCAGUGAUGGAGGCGGAGGAGGCGUCCCCUUCGCGGAAGAAUCCCCGCCGCCCCCGCCGCCGCGACCUCAACGCACUGGAUCCUAAUUUAGUGGAGUCUGAUGGAGAGGACAUCGGCAUUCCGGAAGUCGGCAUGGUGUUCAAUAACCACAUAGAGGUUAACCGAUUUUACCGUAGGUAUGCCCGUCGUGUUGGUUUUGGCGUCUCAGUUAGGAGGUCUUCGUUCUCACAAGAAGGUACCUGCUUAUAUCUCGAGCUGAUGUGCUGUAAAGGAGGGCGUCCACGUUACGAACCUAAGUUCAGGAAACGGGCCUCAUCAACUACAAACUGCCCAGCCAAGAUCCGUGUGAAGUUAUGGGGAGACAAAUUGUUGCAUGUAGAGUUUGCGAUCCUCGAUCAUAAUCAUCCUGUGAGCCCAUCAAUGGCAAGGUUCUUGAACACUUAUAAGCAGCUUUCUGGCCCUGCGAAGAGACGGUUGCGUAUGGGUGGCCCUGGAGCUAUGCCAGUUGAAGAGCCAAGCAAGAUGCCUUUUGAUAAGCUGGAUGCACUUGAGGAACUUUUGUUUGGAGAAAGCAAACACAAUAGUUUUGUUGAGAGGGGCCGCUUGAAGCUCCAACCUGGAGAUUCAGAAGCACUUCGACUUUUCUUUACCCGGAUGCAGGCCAAAAAUGCGAACUUUUUCAACGUUAUUGAUAUGGAUGAUGAAGGCUGUGUCAGGAAUGUUUUCUGGGCAGAUGCACGGACAAGAGCCAUGUAUGAGUAUUAUAAUGACGCAAUCACACUUGAUACUUCUUAUGUUGUUAGUAAAUAUGAUAUGCCUCUUGUGACUUUUCUUGGGGUGAACCAUCAUGGCCAAUCUAUUUUGUUGGGUUGCGGCCUUCUUUCUGAUGAAACAGUAGAAACCUAUACAUGGCUAUUUAAGGUGUGGGUAGCAUGCAUGUCUGGUAAUCUUCCAAAGGCUAUCAUCACUGACCAAUGCAGGGGCAUCCAGAGUGCAAUUUCUGAGGUUAUUCCUGGAGUUCGUCAUAGAAUAUGCUUGUUUCAGAUAAUGAGGAAGACAUCAGAAAUAUUGGGUGGAUUGUCGGAGUACAGAGCUAUUAGCAAGACAUUGCAGAAGGCUGCAUAUGAUUCUUUAACAGUAGAUGAGUUUGAAGGAGAGUGGAGUACUCUGGUCGCCUACAAUGGGCUUCAAGGUCAUGAAUGGUUAAGCUCACUUUAUGAAUGCCGGUUUUCAUGGGUCCCUAUCUUUCUUAAAGAUACUUUUUGGGCAGGAAUGUCUGGUACACAAAGAAAUGAAACUAUCACUCCUUUCUUUGAUGGUUAUGUUGAUUCGAAAACCACUUUGAAGCAAUUUCUUGUUAAGUACGAGAUGAUUUUGCAGAGCAAAUAUGAGAAAGAAGCCCAAGCAGAUUUUGAGACAUUUCAUAAGCAACGUCCACCUGUUUCAAAAUUCUAUAUGGAAGAACAGCUCUCGAAGGUCUACACCCAUAACAUAUUCAAGAAGUUCCAAGAUGAGAUUGAAGCUAUAAUGUACUGCCAUGUAUCUUUUGUGGGUAUUGAUGGGCCUAUCUCCACGUUCAAUGUCAAGGAAUGUAUUUUCCUUGAAGAUGGCAAAAGGACUAUGAGCAAGAUUUUUGCAGUGACUUAUACCACAGAGGAAGAGGAUAUAACUUGUAUAUGUGGAGGUUUCCAAUUCAGCGGUAUAUUAUGUAGGCAUAGUCUCUCAGUGCUCAAGUUUCAACAGGUUCAUGAAAUUCCUUCACAAUACGUUCUUGAUAGAUGGAAUAAGGAUUUCAGGCAGUUACAUGUGAUGGGACGACCUUCAAGUGAUGUUGUUCCCAACAAUCGUGCGGAUCGAUACGACUAUUUGUCAAUGAGAUGCCUCCAGCUUGUUGACUCUGCAGUCCUAUCAGAUAAAUAUCGCCUUGCUUUGAGGUUGGUGAGGGAGGUGGAGAAGUUUUUAUUAAAUAGCAAUACACACGAUGAUACACAGCCAAGAAUCAAAUCCCGCAUUCCUAAAGUAAAUAAACCUAAUACAGUGACUGGUCUAAAUCUGGUAAAUGUACCUACUGACAAUGGAAAUGGUGGGCCCAAUGUACCAGAGGCAUCAGUGUGUGCACCACAAGUCCUGAAGGGAGUAACAGAAAAUGGUGGACCUCCUACUGGUUACAUUGGGGUGCCAGCUAAUGUCCAGCAAUUCAUGGGUAAUCAAGCAGCAAUUCGCCCAAGCAUCGUUUAUAUGGUUCCGAGUGGUGUUGACCCUCAGGCAUUUGGAAAUGGUGUUUUGAUGCCAGUGAUGUACCAGCAGAUGUUCCAGAUACCCCAGCAGCCAAAUGGAGCCGUGCAGGAAACAGCGAAUGGGAAAAAGAAGCGGCCUCGUGUCCAGAAGCUGACGGAGACAUCUCAUCAGUCAAAUGGAACCCCAGGACCUGCAUCUGGCUAAAGGAGACUCUUCACGUUUAAUCAGAACUUCAGAACUCAGAACAGGUCAGGUGGCUAUGUGUCUGGACAAGAUUGCAAAUGCAUAUAGGAUGUUAGAUCAUGUAAGAAAACUUGGUCGCAGGCAUUGAUGCCGCGCUAGAACAAAACAACAAAGGUGAUUAAAAAUACUGAAUGGCACUUCAACUACAGUACAAGAUUUCGAAGCUACUUUGAGAAUAUCCAACUUUUCGUUGAGAUGUUGAAGUUAUCUUGUGCGUUGGAGCAUAUUAAAAGCUGAACACGCACCUUAACAACACGCCCAUUCAUUCGCCCAGAAAGAUACACGGUGAGAUCGGUAUAUAUGGCAUUGUUUGAAGGAAGUGUGGAGAUGGCUGGUUCGGACUUAAGCUGGGACUCACGCGCUCCAACCCGUUGCCAAUUCUUCUUGUGGCUAGCGUGUCGGAAAAGGUGCUGGACAGCGGACCGUCUUGAACGGCGGGGUUUGGAUCAUCCGGACAAUUGCCCUCUCUGUGAUCAAGAGCCGGAAACAAUUGAUCACCUGCUCAUUGGAUGCGUGGUCAUGAGGCAGGUUUGGUGGAAGAUCCUGUGUGCUUGGGGCGCGAUUCAGUGGCUGCCGGAUGAGAGAUCUUCCUUGACGGAGUGGUGGGAGAAUGUUCGUCUUCAAGGUAGAUCAAGGAAAAACCUUGCUACCACAUCGACUUUGGUCUUUUGGAUGAUUUGGAAACACCGAAAUGCGAUAGUGUUCGAUGGGGAGACUCCAGGCGUUGAUAAGAUCCUGAGAGCGAUUCAAGUGGAAGGGGCUGACUGGAAGAGUGCGGGGCUCUUCUUUGAUAUAUUUAGCUUCUUCCCGGGCCCGGAUAGCGUAGGUGUGGAGUGGACCGGUGUGGGUUAGUUCUUGUCGUUUAUUUGCUCGUUUAGGGAUGUACUAAACUGCUCUGCAGUCUUCUUUAUUGGAUGAUACACCCGCUUCGGUGUAUUCUAAA